Hippocampus comes (tiger tail seahorse) is the source of this 141-nucleotide long non-coding RNA. RefSeq lists it as uncharacterized. The transcript has 3 exons. NCBI's taxonomy places the organism in Eukaryota, Metazoa, Chordata, Actinopteri, Syngnathiformes, Syngnathidae. The record is from RefSeq and is a predicted model, not a curated record.
AAUAAUUGUAUUCACCUCAGAGGUGGACAACAGGAGGAUGCUUGCUAAACUAAAAGUUAUGAUGGACAGUCCCUCCCACCCCUUCCAGCCCGCCCUGACAGCACUGGGUAGCUCAUUCAGCCAGAGACUGUUACACCCGUG